Molecule: ribosomal RNA, 253 nt
Filed under: uncultured bacterium
Lineage: Bacteria
Description: partial 16S ribosomal RNA
Rfam family: Bacterial small subunit ribosomal RNA
Source: RNAcentral
UACGUAGGCUGCGAGCGUUGUUCGGAGUUACUGGGCGUAAAGCGUGCGUAGGCGGUGUCUUAAGUUUGUUGUGAAAUCUCCCGGCUUAACCGGGAGGGUGCGGCGAAUACUGAGAUGCUGGAGUGCCGGAGAGGUAAGCGGAAUUCCUGGUGUAGCGGUGAAAUGCGUAGAUAUCAGGAGGAACACCUGCGGUGUAGACGGCUUACUGGACGGUAACUGACGCUGAGGCACGAAAGCGUGGGUAGCAAACAGG